Molecule: ribosomal RNA, 300 nt
Filed under: uncultured bacterium
Lineage: Bacteria
Description: bacterial SSU rRNA
Rfam family: Bacterial small subunit ribosomal RNA
Source: RNAcentral
GCAGUUGAGGAAAAGGAGCAAUCCGCUAAUAGAUGGGCUUGCGUCUGAUUAGCUAGUUGGUGGGGGUAACGGCCUUACCAAGGCGACGAUCAGUAGCCGGACUGAGAGGUUGAACGGCCACAUUGGGACUGAGAUACGGCCCAGACUCCUACGGGAGGCAGCAGUCGGGAAUAUUGCGCAAUGGAGGAAACUCUGACGCAGUGACGCCGCGUAUAGGAAGAAGGUUUUCGGAUUGUAAACUAUUGUCAUUAGGGAAGAUAAAAGACUGUACCUAAGGAGGAAGCCCCGGCUAACUAUGUG